GACGAACGCUGGCGGCGUGCUUAACACAUGCAAGUCGAGCGGAAAGGCCCUUCGGGGUACUCGAGCGGCGAACGGGUGAGUAACACGUGAGUAACCUGCCCCAGACUUUGGGAUAACCCUCGGAAACGGGGGCUAAUACCGGAUACGACACAGGUUCGCAUGGGCUCUGUGUGGAAAGUUUUUCGGUUUGGGAUGGGCUCGCGGCCUAUCAGCUUGUUGGUGGGGUGAUGGCCUACCAAGGCGACGACGGGUAGCCGGCCUGAGAGGGCGACCGGCCACACUGGGACUGAGACACGGCCCAGACUCCUACGGGAGGCAGCAGUGGGGAAUAUUGCACAAUGGGCGGAAGCCUGAUGCAGCGACGCCGCGUGAGGGAUGAC
This 380-nucleotide ribosomal RNA is filed under the name uncultured bacterium. RNAcentral describes it as "bacterial SSU rRNA". It matches the Rfam family "Bacterial small subunit ribosomal RNA", at positions 28 to 412 of the family's 1533-position model. The record is from RNAcentral.